CUCAAAUAUCAAUUCAAACCCAAAUCCAAACCUGAUCAUAAUUUCAAAAACCCAUUCCAAUAUCUCUCUCUACUCUCUCUCUUCGAUGAAGAAUACAAAGCAUCCAGUCUCUAAAUUCAUACUAUCCAGACCUCUCUCAAUUCGCAGGUAGAGCAUCCACUUCAACAAACAUAGAAGUGAAGGUUAUGUCCGAUUUGAGGGAGAUGGCAGAAUCAGUAUCUUCAAACCCUAAUUCUGAGAUUCCAGAACGUCGUUGGGUUCCGCCGCGUCCUUGAUUUUGAAGGUCUAUAGGUUUGAAGACCAUGUGUUCGAUGAAUUGCGUAAAUGAGAAUUGAUCAAAGAAAAUCGAAUGAAGCUGAGGUCGAGCCCCUACGAGAAGAGUGUCACCAAAGGGUUUCAACUCUUGAAAGAAAGCUUUAUGCCCUCACGAUGGAAAGAGACAUGCUACGCAGAGAGCAAAAUAAAAAAGCGAUGCCGCUGCUCUUUUGAAGGAAAAAGAUGAAAUCAUCACUCAAGUUAUGGCAGAAGGCGAAGAGCUUUCAAAGAAACAAGCUACUCAAGAAUCGACAAUCAGGAAACUACGUGCACAGAUCAGAGAGCUUGAAGAAGAGAAGAAAGACUGAUAACAAAGCUACAGGUUGAAGAGAGCAAGGUAGAGAGUAUAAAGAGGGACAUAGCUGCUACAAAGAAGCUACUCCAAGAAACAAUAGAGAAAAACCAAGCUGAGGCAGAUUGAGGCUAUUCAGGUUUUUAUUAUACUUUUAUGAGUAAAAUGCCAUUUUCGUCCCUGACGAAGAAGAAGAAUCUAAGAGGAAAAGAAAGUGAAGCCCGUUAAAAGACCCGCUGAAUCUACACCCAAGUCGCCUGCUUCUACUAAGAAAGGAAAACCCAACACUCCACAAAAUGCUAAAUCUAACACUCCUCAAACAUCAGGUGGAAAGAAAAGUGGUCAAGCAGUAACGCCACAAGCCAAUUCAAAAGUAAGAGUUCACAAAUUUGAUAUGGAUAACGCGGAGUCCGAUCUUUUCGACGACAUCGAUAAUUAUUUCCAAGAUUCAGAUAUUCAAGUACUUCACAAGUUGAAGGUUUUUCAUUACAACCAUGUUGAUCAAACGAGAAAUGGUGAGUUUUCUAAAGAUCCUUGCUUGAUCUUCAUGUAUUUCAUGGUUGUUGUUAUGUUUAUCGAUUGAUCCAGUUAUCAAUAAUCAUCACUUGUGAUUUUGACUUUUUAUAGCUCUAUUUGAAUGACCCAAAGUCAGAUCUGAGUAUAUCAUAAGCUGGAUCUGAAGUAUCUUCAGCUUCUUUUCUUCACAAAAUGUUUCCAAACCAUAGACAUGUUAGUUGGAUCUUAUUACAGAGAAGUUGGUUGCUUGAUCUGUGCUUUCAGUACUAAUUUUAAUGAAUUGAUAUUCCUUCACUAUUUGUAUGUUAAAUACUCCAGUAGUUGAUGGCUGUAUGUUAAAUACUCUCUCUCUCUUCGAUGAAGAAUACAAAGCAUCCAGUCUCUAAAUUCAUACUAUUCAGACCUCUCUCAAUUCGCAGGUAGAGCAUCCACUUCAACAAACACAGGUUGAUGGAUAAGGAUAAAGCAGCAGCAGCAGCAGCAGUUGCUUCUUCUUCUUCGUCACAUGAACUUGCUCAACGUCAAAGAACGAAUCAACGAAAUAGGGCUCGAGGCGAAAGUGCACUUUCCUCUCCAAUUUAAAAGGGAUGAAACACUGAUUAGAUGAAACACUGAUUCAACACUGAAGUUGAUUUAUAUACUCUGGAACAUGAAAGAAGAAGAUGAUGAAGAUUCAAUAUCUCGAUCCACUUCAAUAAAAGAAGGUGUUGAUCCGCAAGGUUUGUGUAAAACAAAGGGAGUUGAACUUGGCAUUUUCGUUAUUUGCAGAGAUGAAGAGAUAUCAAAUACAACCAAAUAUGGUCGCCGAAGUCUCCUACGGUGUUAGUGUCAUCUCGGUUGCCGGAACCAUGAAGGGAUGAACAAUUCCUCAAUUCGUUUGAAGGUUCUUACGAACUUGAAGGCUUAUUGUUGCUUAUAUGCUUUCAUGUGUGUUUACUUAAUUGGAAGUAGAUAUUAAGAGCAUUAAUUUUCUUCCUGUUGUAAAUAAAUGUUAGGAAUUGUUGAAGCUUUAUGUACUUCAUCAAUGUAGUCUCAACUAUUUUGUUAUAUGAA
Molecule: long non-coding RNA, 2176 nt
Organism: Helianthus annuus (common sunflower)
Lineage: Eukaryota; Viridiplantae; Streptophyta; Magnoliopsida; Asterales; Asteraceae
Exons: 15
Source: RefSeq, a predicted model, not a curated record